RNAcentral lists this ribosomal RNA (443 nucleotides) under uncultured bacterium. RNAcentral's name for it is "SSU rRNA". It matches the Rfam family "Bacterial small subunit ribosomal RNA", at positions 26 to 518 of the family's 1533-position model. The record is from RNAcentral.
AGAGCGAACGCUGGCGGCAGGCCUAAUACAUGCAAGUCGAACGCACCUUCGGGUGAGUGGCGGACGGGUGAGUAACACGUGGGAACGUGCCUUUUGGUUCGGAAUAAUCCGGGGAAACCUGGCCUAAUACCGGAUGUGCCCUUCGGGGGAAAGAUUUAUCGCCAUUAGAGCGGCCCGCGUCUGAUUAGCUAGUUGGUGAGGUAACGGCCCACCAAGGCGACGAUCAGUAGCUGGUCUGAGAGGAUGAUCAGCCACACUGGGACUGAGACACGGCCCAGACUCCUACGGGAGGCAGCAGUAGGGAAUCUUGCGCAAUGGGCGAAAGCCUGACGCAGCCAUGCCGCGUGAAUGAUGAAGGUCUUAGGAUUGUAAAAUUCUUUCAGCGGGAAGAUAAUGACUGUACCCGCAGAAGAAGCUCCGGCUAACUUCGUGCCAGCAGCCGC